AGACCCGAAACCCGGUGAUCUAGCCAUGGGCAGGUUGAAGGUUGGGUAACACUAACUGGAGGACCGAACCGACUAAUGUUGAAAAAUUAGCGGAUGACCUGUGGCUGGGGGUGAAAGGCCAAUCAAACCGGGAGAUAGCUGGUUCUCCCCGAAAGCUAUUUAGGUAGCGCCUCGUGAAUUCAUCUCCGGGGGUAGAGCACUGUUUCGGCUAGGGGGCCAUCCCGGCUUACCAACCCGAUGCAAACUGCGAAUACCGGAGAAUGUUAUCACGGGAGACACACGGCGGGUGCUAACGUCCGUCGUGAAGAGGGAAACAACCCAGACCGCCAGCUAAGGUCCCAAAGUCAUGGUUAAGUGGGAAACGAUGUGGGAAGGCCCAGACAGCCAGGAUGUUGGCUUAGAAGCAGCCAUCAUUUAAAGAAAGCGUAAUAGCUCACUGGUCGAGUCGGCCUGCGCGGAAGAUGUAACGGGGCUAAACCAUGCACCGAAGCUGCGGCAGCGACGCUUAUGCGUUGUUGGGUAGGGGAGCGUUCUGUAAGCCUGCGAAGGUGGCCUGUGAGGGUUGCUGGAGGUAUCAGAAGUGCGAAUGCUGACAUAAGUAACGAUAAAGCGGGUGAAAAGCCCGCUCGCCGGAAGACCAAGGGUUCCUGUCCAACGUUAAUCGGGGCAGGGUGAGUCGACCCCUAAGGCGAGGCCGAAAGGCGUAGUCGAUGGGAAACGGGUUAAUAUUCCCGUACUUGGUGUUACUGCGAAGGGGGGACGGAGAAGGCUAUGUUGGCCGGGCGACGGUUGUCCCGGUUUAAGCGUGUAGGUGUGUGUUCCAGGUAAAUCCGGUUCACUUUAACACUGAGGCGUGAUGACGAGGCACUACGGUGCUGAAGCAACAAAUGCCCUGCUUCCAGGAAAAGCCUCUAAGCAUCAGGUAACAUCAAAUCGUACCCCAAACCGACACAGGUGGUCAGGUAGAGAAUACCAAGGCGCUUGAGAGAACUCGGGUGAAGGAACUAGGCAAAAUGGUGCCGUAACUUCGGGAGAAGGCACGCUGACAUGUAGGUGAAGUGAUUUACUCAUGGAGCUGAAGUCAGUCGAAGAUACCAGCUGGCUGCAACUGUUUAUUAAAAACACAGCACUGUGCAAACACGAAAGUGGACGUAUACGGUGUGACGCCUGCCCGGUGCCGGAAGGUUAAUUGAUGGGGUCAGCGCAAGCGAAGCUCCUGAUCGAAGCCCCGGUAAACGGCGGCCGUAACUAUAACGGUCCUAAGGUAGCGAAAUUCCUUGUCGGGUAAGUUCCGACCUGCACGAAUGGCGUAAUGAUGGCCAGGCUGUCUCCACCCGAGACUCAGUGAAAUUGAACUCGCUGUGAAGAUGCAGUGUACCCGCGGCAAGACGGAAAGACCCCGUGAACCUUUACUAUAGCUUGACACUGAACAUUGAGCCUUGAUGUGUAGGAUAGGUGGGAGGCUUUGAAGCGUGGACGCCAGUCUGCGUGGAGCCGACCUUGAAAUACCACCCUUUAAUGUUUGAUGUUCUAACGUGGACCCGUGAUCCGGGUUGCGGACAGUGUCUGGUGGGUAGUUUGACUGGGGCGGUCUCCUCCUAAAGAGUAACGGAGGAGCACGAAGGUUGGCUAAUCCUGGUCGGACAUCAGGAGGUUAGUGCAAUGGCAUAAGCCAGCUUGACUGCGAGCGUGACGGCGCGAGCAGGUGCGAAAGCAGGUCAUAGUGAUCCGGUGGUUCUGAAUGGAAGGGCCAUCGCUCAACGGAUAAAAGGUACUCCGGGGAUAACAGGCUGAUACCGCCCAAGAGUUCAUAUCGACGGCGGUGUUUGGCACCUCGAUGUCGGCUCAUCACAUCCUGGGGCUGAAGUAGGUCCCAAGGGUAUGGCUGUUCGCCAUUUAAAGUGGUACGCGAGCUGGGUUUAGAACGUCGUGAGACAGUUCGGUCCCUAUCUGCCGUGGGCGCUGGAGAACUGAGGGGGGCUGCUCCUAGUACGAGAGGACCGGAGUGGACGCAUCACUGGUGUUCGGGUUGUCAUGCCAAUGGCACUGCCCGGUAGCUAAAUGCGGAAGAGAUAAGUGCUGAAAGCAUCUAAGCACGAAACUUGCCCCGAG
RNAcentral lists this ribosomal RNA (2112 nucleotides) under Salmonella enterica. RNAcentral describes it as "partial 23S ribosomal RNA". It matches the Rfam family "Bacterial large subunit ribosomal RNA", at positions 711 to 2803 of the family's 2925-position model. The record is from RNAcentral. RNAcentral also lists the same sequence under 2 other names. Lineage: Bacteria; Pseudomonadati; Pseudomonadota; Gammaproteobacteria; Enterobacterales; Enterobacteriaceae.